GUUGAGUUAUCCCUUUUCCUUGGGAAUGAACUGGAUUUAGUUGCUUGAACUGGUGGUGCAUGGCUGUCGUCAGCUCGUGCCGUAAGGUGUUGGGUUAAGUCCCGCAACGAGCACCCAAUUUUGAUUUGCACAUAUAGGACAAAUCUUCCUAUUAUUAUUUCUUUU
This 165-nucleotide ribosomal RNA is filed under the name Olea europaea subsp. europaea. Its description in RNAcentral is "SSU_rRNA_bacteria". It matches the Rfam family "Bacterial small subunit ribosomal RNA", at positions 986 to 1156 of the family's 1533-position model. Lineage: Eukaryota; Viridiplantae; Streptophyta; Magnoliopsida; Lamiales; Oleaceae. The record is from RNAcentral.